RNAcentral lists this ribosomal RNA (497 nucleotides) under uncultured bacterium. RNAcentral's name for it is "partial 16S ribosomal RNA". It matches the Rfam family "Bacterial small subunit ribosomal RNA", at positions 28 to 507 of the family's 1533-position model. The record is from RNAcentral.
GAUGAACGCUGGCGGCGUGCCUAAUACAUGCAAGUCGAGCGAACGGACGAGAAGUUUGCUUCUCUGAUGUUAGCGGCGGACGGGUGAGUAACACGUGGAUAACCUACCUAUAAGACUGGGAUAACUUCGGGACACCGGAGCUAAUACCGGAUAAUAUUUUGAACCGCAUGGUUCAAAAGUGAAAGACGGUCUUGCUGUCACUUAUAGAUGGAUCCGCGCUGCAUUAGCUAGUUGGUAAGGUAACGGCUUACCAAGGCAACGAUGCAUAGCCGACCUGAGAGGGUGAUCGGCCACACUGGAACUGAGACACGGUCCAGACUCCUACGGGAGGCAGCAGUAGGGAAUCUUCCGCAAUGGGCGAAAGCCUGACGGAGCAACGCCGCGUGAGUGAUGAAGGUCUUCGGAUCGUAAAACUCUGUUAUUAGGGAAGAACAUAUGUGUAAGUAACUGUGCACAUCGUGACGGUACCUAAUCAGAAAGCCACGGCUAACUACGUG